Octodon degus (degu) is the source of this 2168-nucleotide long non-coding RNA. RefSeq lists it as uncharacterized. NCBI's taxonomy places the organism in Eukaryota, Metazoa, Chordata, Mammalia, Rodentia, Octodontidae. The transcript is spliced from 3 exons. The record is from RefSeq and is a predicted model, not a curated record.
GACUGGCCUAGAACUUGCUUUGUAGUCUGUGCUCUCCCUGGACUUACAGGAGCCUCCUGCCCCAGCCUCCCAACUCCUGGGAUAACAGGAAUCAAACCCAGGACCUUGCACUUGCCAGGCAAGUGCUUGUGCCACUGAGCUAUAUCCCUGGCCUGGAACAGCCUUCUAAAGAUGCCUAGCUUCAUCUCAUCUUGUCAUAGUCACAGAAUAACUUUGCCAGUGUUUGAUAUUCAGUGAGAUUGUUUAAGUCUAGGAGUAAAGUAAUCCAGCCUUGUCAUAAAUUCUAGAACAGGUCCUGGAGAUCAGGAGCUCCCCACUACCCUGUGGGGAAAUAAAUAAGUGACCAUGAAAACAAAUAGAAGAAAUCCAUAUUCAUUGAAGAUAUUAAGGGACUGUUAAUGCUUUUUCCAGAAUUUCAUCCAAAGGAAUCCGGAGAAUAGAGGCUAAAGACCUAUUAGGGAUAUGGACUUGGUGAUGUUUGAGUCCUUACUCAUCUAGCUGUUGACCAUGAUAAUGUAUCCAUGCUCAAUGAUCAAGUGUUUGGCCAAAACCUAGCUCUAACCAACAUCUAUUUAUAGCUAACAGUCUCAGAUGUCCCAAAUGAAUAGAGCAAAUACCAGUUGUGAGUAUAGAUGAUGACAGCUAUGACACUGGCAGCAGUUAAAAUGAUGGCUUUGAAAACAGUCAUAAAUAUAAUGGAAUAUGUCUUAUUUUUAAAAUAUUUUCACCCUACCUACAUUCACUGCUCUCUUGGCUUCCUAUUUUUAUUAGGAAAAACUAUAUUAGGAUGAUGUUUGUGUGCUGCAGAUGCUGUUCCGAGUGCCAUGGCAACCACUUGCUUUUACUCAAGCAUUUUAUGUCAAGAUUAUACAUUUAGAAAUUUUUAUACAAUGCUGAAAAUGCUGGGUGUGUUUCAGUAACAAUUUAAGUCAUGGGAGUCUUACUCAGAGACCCACAAAGUGAAACUUAAGUGAGAGAAGAAUGGGAGAUUAAUGGCUGACUAUGAGGAAAAUCUUUAUUUCUUUCCCCAAAAUAGGAGGCUGUGAGACCUCCUCUGGUUCACAGGUAGAGUAGCCAGUGCCACCACAUAAACACAGAGGCCCCUCUGCUUCCAGCCCUGCUACAAAAUACGCGAUCAAGAGCAUUGGGCUCAGUUUCCCCACCUGGACAAUGAAGAAGUUGGUCUAGCAGUCCCAUAGUUCCAUGCAGGUUUCUGCUUCUGUAGUUGGGACCUGCAUUUCAAGAGCCAUUAUCUGGAGAGAUGUCCCCUGGCACUUCCUCAUGGACACAGCAGUGUGGUUAGGAGUCCAUGCUUGGAGUUAAAUCUGGGUACAAACCCUAGCUCUUCCUGCUUACUGCCAUGUGUCUUUGGGAAGGUUCUUCAUUCAUGAAAUGAAUCUUAGAUAGUAACCACUUCAUAGGGUUGUCAGGAGGAUUGACAUGAAUUUAAUAUUAGAAACUAUCUCCUGUGUUAUGUUGGUAGCUUGAGACAGUACAUGUAAAACUUGCUUUGUAUUGUGCUUGACCCAUCAAAAGCAAUCAAUCAAUAUCAGCAAAAUUUGAAGGCAACCUUAAAGACUGGCCACACCACUUUCAUGGCAUGAGCAUGUGGUGAAGGACCUGUCACCCCAUGGAAAUCAGAACAGCAAAGAGAGAAAAGGACAGGAAGAUGGUGCUGUCCUAAUAUCCUCUUUGAAAGCACAGUGCCCAAUAACCUAAUUUACCUCCACUGGCCUCCACCCAUGACAUGAAUGUACCACACCAAGGCAAGAUAUUAAUAGUAGAUGGGAUUACAUAGUUUAUGAGAAAUCUAUUAUUUUUUUGUUCAACUUUUCUGUAAAGUUAAAACUGCUCAAGAAAAUAAAGUCUAUUUUUUUAAAAAUGCUAAGGUGAGAAGCCAAAGGCAUUAGGGAAAUUCUGUUCCUUAACGUCAUUCAGGGCUCCAACUUCUAUCCAAGUGAUUGCUCUGAUAUCCCCAGGGUAUUUUCUAUUUAAAGAUUUGCUAUCAGAUAUUAAUCUAUUUCUGAACACAAACUGUUGUGUUGUUUCACACUUCUGUAUUUUUCUUUGCAAGACUGGUCCAUCCUUUAGUUGAUGUUCUCCCCUGGGAUGGAGGUGCAUGUUUAUAAUCUUAGCACUCAGGAGGCUGAGGUAGGAGGAUCACAAGU